UAUUAGAAAGCGAAAUAACGCACUUAGUUUCGGCCUAAGUUUUGGGCCUGCCCUCUAAUAU
Molecule: transfer RNA, 61 nt
Filed under: Calanus simillimus
Lineage: Eukaryota; Metazoa; Arthropoda; Copepoda; Calanoida; Calanidae
Description: tRNA-Arg
Source: RNAcentral